GAUGAACGCUGGCGGCGUGCCUAACACAUGCAAGUCGAACGAGCAGCCAGAAGUGCUUGCACAUCUGGUGGGCGAGUGGCGGACGGGUGCGUAACACGUAGGAACCUGCCCUGAGGAGGGGGACAAUCGCUGGAAACGGCGGCUAAUCCCGCAUAGUCUCGGCCGGGGGAGACCUGGUUGAGUAAAACUCCGGUGCCUCAGGAGGGGCCUGCGGCCUAUCAGGUAGUUGGUGGGGUAAAGGCCUACCAAGCCGAUGACGGGUAGGGGGCGUGAGAGCGUGGCCCCCCACACGGGAACUGAGACACGGUCCCGACGCCUACGGGCGGCAGCAGUGAGGAAUCUUGCCCAAUGGGGGAAACCCUGAGGCAGCGACGCCGCGUGCGGGAGGAAGGCCUUCGGGUCGUAAACCGCUUUUCUGGGGGACGAGGAAGGACGGUACCCCAGGAAUAAGUCCCGGCUAACUACGUG
This 468-nucleotide ribosomal RNA is filed under the name uncultured bacterium. Its description in RNAcentral is "bacterial SSU rRNA". It matches the Rfam family "Bacterial small subunit ribosomal RNA", at positions 28 to 507 of the family's 1533-position model. The record is from RNAcentral.